UACGGAAGGCAGCAGUGGGGAAUAUUGCACAAUGGGCGCAAGCCUGAUGCAGCCAUGCCGCGUGUAUGAAGAAGGCCUUCGGGUUGUAAAGUACUUUCAGUCGUGAGGAAGGUGUUAAGGUUAAUAACCUUAGCAAUUGACGUUAGCGACAGAAGAAGCACCGGCUAACUCCGUGCCAGCAGCCGCGGUAAUACGGAGGGUGCGAGCGUUUUUUAAUCGGAAUUACUGGGCGUAAAGGGCACGCAGGCGGUUAAUUAAGUUGGAUGUGAAAUCCCCGGGCUUAAACCUGGGAAUGGCAUUCAAGACUGGUUAGCUAGAGUCUUGUAGAGGGGGUAGAAUUCCAUGUGUAGCGGUGAAAUGCGUAGAGAUGUGGAGGAAAUACCGGUGGCGAAAGGCGGCCCCUGGACAAAAGACUGACGCUCAUGUGCGAAAAGCGUGGGGAGCAAAACAGGAUUAGAUACC
Molecule: ribosomal RNA, 462 nt
Filed under: uncultured bacterium
Lineage: Bacteria
Description: bacterial SSU rRNA
Rfam family: Bacterial small subunit ribosomal RNA
Source: RNAcentral